UUUAAAAAUGAAUGCUUUGUUUAACAUUUAGAUUGAAUGUUUAUGAUAUCAGAUUUUGUUUUAGAUUAGAGCUUGCUUAUUUGGAAGCCAAUGGGAAUGCAGUAGUUUGAAAUCUGGGACAGAAGCUCUAAGAUGAUUAAAGAUCCCUCUACCCAACUGUUUGUAUUCAGCUGCAGAUUCUAUUCAUCCAUGUGUUUAACUUCACUUAUCAUGCAGGAUUUUGCCUAUCUUUGCUGCUAAGGUGAAGGUGCAGCAAGAACAACCACUGUGCGUAGUGUCAUGCGUUUGAUGAAGGAUCACCAGCCUAAGAUGAUAGCCUUACUUCACAAGUUUGCCAUCUAACCGUUGAACAUUUGUGGCAUUUCGCAGCAUUAUAAAAUAAUGCAGAAAAUUACAUUUUACAGAUUUCUAGUGACUGCACCAUUUUGCUUCAAGUAUUUAAUUCUGAGUUGCAGGUUACAGGGAAGUUUUGGAGAAUUGAAAGAAGUCAAGACAGGAAAGGGCUUGCAUGAACGACAGUAGUGAAAAACGAGAGGAAGCUACUGACAUGAUGAAGGAACAUCCAGAGAUGGAGGACCUUCAUUGCUCCAUUCACGUCAGUGGCAUUGUGGGCAGUAAGAACAUGUCACUCCUGAAUUCUGACCAGCUAACCUUUAAGCAAUUCCCACCUAGCAGAUGUGGGCUUUCCAAAAAACUCCCACUUGCAACCUCCUCUUCCCAGGUCAUGCUUGCUCUUAUAAUUGGCCUUAACCCAAUUGACCCACAGAGGAAAUCUGACAACUUCCAUCUGAAAACCUGAUCACUCUUCCCAAAGUGCUCUCCCACUGAAACACUGAUCAUCUGGCCAGACUAAUUUUCCAUUAUUAGUCCUAGAAUGACCCUUCCUUAAUUAGACUAUGCCAGGAAACCGUUCUGGAUGUACCUAAUAAAUUCUGCCCCUUCGAAGUCUCUGGUACUAAGUGAGUCCUAGUCAGAAUUAGGGGACAUGAAUCACAACUGCAACAGCUCUGUUGAUUUUACGUAGCUGUAUUGGAGUGGCACAAUGGUAUAAUGGUUAACACAAUGCUUUACAGUGACCUGGGAUCAAUUCCUGCCUGCUGCUAGAGAGGAGUUUGUAUGUUCUCCCUGUGACUGUGUGGGUUUCCACUGAGUGCUUUGGUUUCCUCUCACCAGCCUACCAGCUGGUAGGUUAGUAGGUCAUUGCAAAUUGUCUUGCGAUUAGGCUCAGACUAAAUUAGAGGACUGCUGUGUGGUAUGGCUUGAAGGGCCAGGAGGGCCUAUUCCAUGCAUGUCAAUAAAUAAAUAAUCUCCCUGUUCCAGUUUCACACUAUUGGAAAGCUUUUAGUAUAAAAUCACAGUGAUUUCAGGAGUCCUCCAGGAUGUCCCCUCUAAAUGCAAUAUAACAUUCUUCCUGAUCGGUAAAGCAACUCUCCCACUCACUUUACAUCUCUCAAUCACGGCUGAAAAUACUAAUCCUAGAGUGUUGAGCUGACAGUCCUGCUCUCCUCUCAACCAAUUUUCAGUGGUGUCUACAACAACUCAGAUGUAUGUAUUAAUCCAGGCUCUUAAGUUCUUCUGCUUUAACUAUUAUAUUCCUCACACUGAAAUAAAUACAUUUCUGGCCAUCAGCUCCUUUGUGUUCAUUCAUCUGACUUGGUCUAAGUUACUUGACCUAGCGUCUUCCUUAGUGUGGGUAAGAGCCAGCAGAAUCCAAGUGGAGUUGAUGGGCAUGCAUGUUAAGAAAGUAAGUUGCAAGAAGGAAAUCAGGAAAGGAGGUAUGAAACUGCAGGGAAUUCCAUAAACUUGAAGUCCUUAGAU
This is a long non-coding RNA of Hypanus sabinus (Atlantic stingray), 1818 nucleotides long. RefSeq lists it as uncharacterized. The transcript is spliced from 4 exons. NCBI's taxonomy places the organism in Eukaryota, Metazoa, Chordata, Chondrichthyes, Myliobatiformes, Dasyatidae. The record is from RefSeq and is a predicted model, not a curated record.